GAUGAACGCUAGCGACAGGCCUAACACAUGCAAGUCGAGGGGCAGCACAGUGUAGCAAUACAUAGGUGGCGACCGGCGCACGGGUGAGUAACACGUAUGCAACCUGCCUUCAACAAGGGGGAUAACCCGUUGAAAGACGGACUAAUACCCUAUAACACAGGGGUCCCGCAUGGGAAUAUUUGUUAAAGGACAACCGGUUGAAGAUGGGCAUGCGUUCCAUUAGCUAGUUGGCGGGGUAACGGCCCACCAAGGCAACGAUCAUUAGGGGUUCUGAGAGGAAGGUCCCCCACACUGGUACUGAGACACGGACCAGACUCCUACGGGAGGCAGCAGUGAGGAAUAUUGGUCAAUGGGCGAGAGCCUGAACCAGCCAAGUCGCGUGCAGGAAGAAUGUCCUAUGGAUUGUAAACUGCUUUUGCAGGGGAAUAAAGUGAGCCACGUGUGGUUUUUUGUAUGUACUCUGCGAAUAAGGAUCGGCUAACUCCGUGCCAGCAG
This 495-nucleotide ribosomal RNA is filed under the name uncultured bacterium. RNAcentral's name for it is "bacterial SSU rRNA". It matches the Rfam family "Bacterial small subunit ribosomal RNA", at positions 28 to 514 of the family's 1533-position model. The record is from RNAcentral.